This 325-nucleotide ribosomal RNA is filed under the name uncultured eukaryote. RNAcentral describes it as "partial 18S ribosomal RNA". It matches the Rfam family "Eukaryotic small subunit ribosomal RNA", at positions 1470 to 1796 of the family's 1831-position model. The record is from RNAcentral.
CCCUUAGAUGUUCUGAACCGCACGCGCGCUACACUGAUGCAUUCAACGAGCCUAUCCUUGACCGACAGGUCCGGGUAAUCUUUGAAUCUGCAUCGUGACGGGGAUAGAUUAUUGCAAUUAUUAAUCUUCAACGAGGAAUGCCUAGUAGGCGCAAGUCAUCAGCUUGCGUCGAUUACGUCCCUGCCCUUUGUACACACCGCCCGUCGCUCCUACCGAUUGGGUGUGCUGGUGAAAUGUUCGGAUCGGCCGUUUGUCGCGGUUUCCGCGUCAUGUGGCUGAGAAGUUCAUUAAACCCUCCCACCUAGAGGAAGGAGAAGUCGUAACA